Molecule: ribosomal RNA, 441 nt
Filed under: Pseudomonas sp. DJ19
Lineage: Bacteria; Pseudomonadati; Pseudomonadota; Gammaproteobacteria; Pseudomonadales; Pseudomonadaceae
Description: bacterial SSU rRNA
Rfam family: Bacterial small subunit ribosomal RNA
Source: RNAcentral
UCAGAUUGAACGCUGGCGGCAGGCCUAACACAUGCAAGUCGAGCGGUAGAGAGAAGCUUGCUUCUCUUGAGAGCGGCGGACGGGUGAGUAAUGCCUAGGAAUCUGCCUGGUAGUGGGGGAUAACGUUCGGAAACGGACGCUAAUACCGCAUACGUCCUACGGGAGAAAGCAGGGGACCUUCGGGCCUUGCGCUAUCAGAUGAGCCUAGGUCGGAUUAGCUAGUUGGUGAGGUAAUGGCUCACCAAGGCGACGAUCCGUAACUGGUCUGAGAGGAUGAUCAGUCACACUGGAACUGAGACACGGUCCAGACUCCUACGGGAGGCAGCAGUGGGGAAUAUUGGACAAUGGGCGAAAGCCUGAUCCAGCCAUGCCGCGUGUGUGAAGAAGGUCUUCGGAUUGUAAAGCACUUUAAGUUGGGAGGAAGGGUUGUAGAUUAAUACU